AGGGAGUGCAGUGGCGUUUGUCUUAUAACGUCACGUUAAACUGUCCGAAAAACAAAUGCGUAGAUAAUGUAAACCCUCCAACAAAAACGAAGAAAUGUAAGGAACGUUCGUAACGUUAUCUACAAUGAUUAUGUCCAUCAUGCUAUGUUCUGUCGGUUCAACACAGCAAAAUUCAUCGAAAAGUUUCACAAUAAAGGACGGGGUGAGCGACACGCGCCCAUAACAAGGCGAAGAAGACGUGGAAAAUGGCAUAGCAUAAAGUCACAGUUAUACCAAGGAUAUUCACGAUUGAAAAUAUAAUUUUAUUAUUUGGGCACACUCAUGUCUUUACUCAUUACAUUAUUC
Hyposmocoma kahamanoa is the source of this 345-nucleotide long non-coding RNA. RefSeq lists it as uncharacterized. The record is from RefSeq and is a predicted model, not a curated record. The transcript is spliced from 3 exons. NCBI's taxonomy places the organism in Eukaryota, Metazoa, Arthropoda, Insecta, Lepidoptera, Cosmopterigidae.